UACGGAGGGUCCAAGCGUUAAUCGGAAUUACUGGGCGUAAAGCGCACGCAGGCGGUUUGUUAAGUCAGAUGUGAAAUCCCCGGGCUCAACCUGGGAACUGCAUCUGAUACUGACAAGCUUGAGUUGCGUAGAGGUGGGUAGAAUUUCCGGUGUAGCGGUGAAAUGCGUAGAGAUCUGGAGGAAUACCGGUGGCGAAGGCGGCCUCCUGGACGUAGACUGACGCUCAGGUGCGAAAGCGUGGGGAGCAAACAGG
This 253-nucleotide ribosomal RNA is filed under the name uncultured bacterium. RNAcentral's name for it is "partial 16S ribosomal RNA". It matches the Rfam family "Bacterial small subunit ribosomal RNA", at positions 524 to 776 of the family's 1533-position model. The record is from RNAcentral.